RNAcentral lists this ribosomal RNA (301 nucleotides) under uncultured bacterium. RNAcentral's name for it is "partial 16S ribosomal RNA". It matches the Rfam family "Bacterial small subunit ribosomal RNA", at positions 509 to 807 of the family's 1533-position model. The record is from RNAcentral.
CAGUAGCCACGGUAAUACGUAGGUGGCAAGCGUUGUCCGGAAUUAUUGGGCGUAAAGGGCGCGUAGGCGGGCGAAUCAGUCAGGGGUGAAAUCCCAAGGCUCAACCUUGGAACUGCCUUUGAUACUGUUUGUCUUGAGUACAGGAGAGGAAAGCGGAAUUCCCAGUGUAGCGGUGAAAUGCGUAGAUAUUGGGAGGAACACCAGUGGCGAAGGCGGCUUUCUGGACUGCAACUGACGCUGAGGCUCGAGAGCCAGGGGAGCGAACGGGAUUAGAUACCCGAGUAGUCCCUGUCUCUUAUAC